CCCAUUACUCCUCCUCCAGGCUUACAGCCCUUGGGGUAGGCUCUGCACAUGUGCACAUAUAUAAAAGUCACCUUCACAGACCCUCAGGGAACUGCUGCCUUGGAGCCUCACCCUCCCCACUGCCUGGGCUUGUGGUGAUCUUCAAAGUCUUUAGGCCCAGGAGUUCUCAGGCCUGGCUUAGUGGGGGAGUCUCACCACUUAUCAAUAUAGAAUGGAGCAUUUGGCACUGACUCCUUUGAGGGCAGCCCCUGCUGAAAAUGAAGAUGGGCGAGGAGUCUCUGUUUUGUAGAAUUUGUUUAUGCGAGGGGUGUUGCUAAAAAUAAAGGCCCCUUCUCUCCCCUCCCCACCAAGGGGUUCAGAAAAUGUAAUCUUAAGGACCCACACUGUGAAAAAUUAAGGGAGACAUAUCCUCACCUCAAAAGGCUGACUGUCUAGUGCGGAGGGCAAGUCGUGGAAAGGUGAAGUCAUAAUCUAAGGUGGUAGUAGGAGACAGCUGCUGAGAUACAAGAGGAGAGAAGACUAAGAAGCUACUGGCUUUCAAAUUGAACCACUGGAUAUACCUGGGAUGGAGCUGUGAGCCUGUAGUGUGAGGACACACAAAAAGCCAUCUGAGCAGAGAAGAGGUUGGGAGCUGAGAGACGUGUAACAUGGAAGAGAGACGGCGGAGCCGAGAUCAGACCCAUCCCUUAGCAUCAGCCUCCCCUCCUCCUGAGCCUGCAGAAAACUUGCAGAGCGGGGACAGCAGGCAGCGUUCCAUAGGACCUCUAUAGUUGGCCCUAAUCAUAAGAUGCCGCUAUGUAAGAUUUACAAAGUCAUCAGGCCCCUGCCGAUGUUCGGUAUUUUUCAGCGUUUUUUGACGUUUUGACUGUCUUUGGUAGUAGUAUUGCCCCGAGUUGAACAUUUCUACCAGUUGGUGCUGGAUUGCAGGUAGAAAUAACAUCAUAUGCGGUUUAUGUCAAAAGACAAUUGCUUUCCCAUAACAUUCCAUUUCCUUGAAGUAAUCCAUCUGCCUCCUAUAGUUAACUUUGCUUAAAAUAGAUACAGUGUGCCAUACUUCAAAUGAGUAUAAAAAGCUUCUCAUGGGUUUUGCUAGGCACCCUCACCCAGUUUCAGCGAGAUUAAGACUUUGAGAUCUACAGAUGACGCGAUACCACCUAUGUGUGUGUGCGUGCAGAUGAAUUCUUUCUGAAGUAGUGUGAUUACUGUCUUUUUAACCAGGGCUUCCAUUUGCAAAGGCAUGUAACUUGAGGUCAACUUUACAAAUCAAUGACAUUUACAUCCUUCAGAGUACAUUAAUGUGAUAUUCCUCUGUGCCCCCAGUGGUCUCCAUUUCUGUAAUGCUACACGUUCAGGUGUUCGAUUUAUUUUUCAGGCCAUCUCUCUUCCAGGAGCUAAAACAGUAUUUUGCUUGAAUUCAGCAGCACCUUAGGUGCCCUGGUAGUGAAGAGCUAUAAUAGCAAUGCCAAAACUGCAUUUGCUCUGAAUGCUGGUGGUCUGGCGGGUAGGUUUUAGUGAGAAUCUAGCAAGUGACCAAUCCCAGGAUGAGUGAUGGGAAUGUGGUCUCUGAUAGGAUUCGAUGCCAGACCCCAGGGCUUAACGGCUCAGUCGGGAGGCUGAUGAGCAAGGACACACUGCAUCACCAGCUGAUUAAGUGCUGAGGGAUGGAGCCGUGGAAGCCCUGAGGGGGACACGUGGCCUGGCCUGAGAGCGUGAGGAAGGUGUCCAGAGGAGGAAAGUGCUGGAAGCCUGCAGACAUGUGCAAGAGAGUCUGCUAGGAAGCUCUAGAUCUUCUGUCCUUGUAGAUGAGAAUUUUUUGACAUCUGUAGUUUUCCACGGUAUCACACAACCUUGCUCAUACAAUGAUUUUCCAAUAAAUAUUCCCUUAUUCCCCUUUAAGGAUUUCUGCAGGCAGUGGACAAAAAUCAUAUUUGCACUGCAACGUCAAAAGAAGCAUCGUGUAGGUACUAGAUCUAUAGCACCACUCUUGGACCAGGGCUGCCUGGCCCCCUCUUCUGGGCCCCUGCACUUGAGAGAACUUUGUUCCAGUCCUCCUCUGGUGUGUCCAUCUCAGAAGAGCAGGAUUUCAGGCUUCCGAAGGCUUGAUCAUAUUCCGGGAGAUUCAUGUAUUGAUUAUGCUUAAAUGUAUAAUUUGGAUAAUCACACAUGGAAAUCCAGAAGCGAAUGCUGUUCACCAGAGAAACAAGAGCUUUGCUGUUGCACUUUUGGUGGGAGCAUACCAUGUACUUUUCUGUCCUUUGAUAUCUUUCACUUAUGUAAUUUUGGAGACUUUCUGGAACAGAAUGUCGACAUCAACCUCAUUUCCAGUGCUCCGUGGUUUUUCAGAUUACAGAAUAUCCGGGAUGCCGUGGUGAUGAAACCGAGAAGAAGAGCUGACAUCACACAGAGGAGGCGCUCUUCUUCAGCGGGUGCAGCCAGGCCCCUUGGUUGAGCAUGGGCUGGAGGGCUGCCCAGACCCACACAAUAGCCUCGGCCCCAUGAGGCUGCCUUGGGCCGCAUCUCGGCCACCUGAUACUCCGCUUCCGCCAGCCUGGAGAACCAAGGCCUCUUCAGCCCUGCACUAACGCCAUCCUCAACUCUGUUUCCUGAUUUUAUCUUCUUUAAUUCAUUAAACAGCACUUUUGCCA
Molecule: long non-coding RNA, 2645 nt
Organism: Canis lupus familiaris (dog)
Lineage: Eukaryota; Metazoa; Chordata; Mammalia; Carnivora; Canidae
Exons: 7
Source: RefSeq, a predicted model, not a curated record